This is a long non-coding RNA of Helicoverpa armigera (cotton bollworm), 592 nucleotides long. RefSeq lists it as uncharacterized. The transcript has 3 exons. NCBI's taxonomy places the organism in Eukaryota, Metazoa, Arthropoda, Insecta, Lepidoptera, Noctuidae. The record is from RefSeq and is a predicted model, not a curated record.
GUAAAAUAUUGAAAUAGACAAGACUUAUUUAAGAAUGGGUUUAGGUACUCAAAAAUUAACUAUAAUUUACAUUUGUACAUUAUUUUUCAGCAUCAGAAAAAGAAUAUUGUCUACACGCGGAUGAUGAGUGCUUGACGAAAUCAUUAAAAGAUCGUAUAUAUCAGAAAUUUGUACGAGGAUUAGAUGGAGUAGAAUCUUCAGAUCCAUUGCAAGUGGACAAAAUAGACGAUGAUCUGCAGAACUUGAAAUAUGUGCUUAGGAAAGCAACGCUUACUGGGUUAGGGAAGUGCGAUUUUCUUCGGUUAAAACUCACUCGAGAAGGUGAAUCACUUGUUACGUAUGAACUCCUUUGUCCCAGCCUGGUAAUUAAAUCAGAUUAUGAACUGAAGGGCGCAUUAGAUGGACUAGAUGCAGAGGGAAAAGAUACCUGUGAAAUUACUUAUUAUAAUUAUCACAUAAACGUCACUGGCAAGUAUGAAAAAACAGUAGACGACGAAGGCAAACAUCACUUCCAUAUCAAGGAGUUUUGGCUGAACUUAGACAAUCAAGCAGAAGCGACGUCAGAAUACAAAAACCUAUCAGUAAAAAACGA